Neltuma alba is the source of this 92-nucleotide small nucleolar RNA. RefSeq annotates it as small nucleolar RNA snoR114. The transcript has a single exon. Lineage: Eukaryota; Viridiplantae; Streptophyta; Magnoliopsida; Fabales; Fabaceae. The record is from RefSeq and is a predicted model, not a curated record.
GGGCUGUGAGGAGAUCCUCGCACGUUCUGUGGUUGGUGUUCAAUCACAUGCGUCUGAUCUAAUUGGAUGAUCUGUCUCGUGCAUCUGAGCUC